AUUGAACGCUGGCGGCAUGCCUUACACAUGCAAGUCGAACGGCAGCACGGGUGCUUGCACCUGGUGGCGAGUGGCGAGCGGGUGAGUAAUAUAUCGGAACGUACCUUAUUGUGGGGGAUAACGCAGCGAAAGCUGUGCUAAUACCGCAUAAUCCCUAAGGGGGAAAGCGGGGGACCGUAAGGCCUCGCGCAAUUAGAGCGGCCGAUACCUGAUUAGCUAGUUGGUGAGGUAAAGGCUCACCAAGGCAACGAUCAGUAGCUGGUCUGAGAGGACGAUCAGCCACACUGGGACUGAGACACGGCCCAGACUCCUACGGGAGGCAGCAGUGGGGAAUUUUGGACAAUGGGGGCAACCCUGAUCCAGCAAUGCCGCGUGAGUGAAGAAGGCCUUCGGGUUGUAAAGCUCUUUUGUCAGGGAAGAAACAGCAGCUCUAACACAGUAUGCGAAUGACGGUACCUGAAGAAUAAGCACCGGCUAACUACGUGCCAGCAGCCGCGGUAA
This 501-nucleotide ribosomal RNA is filed under the name uncultured bacterium. Its description in RNAcentral is "partial 16S ribosomal RNA". It matches the Rfam family "Bacterial small subunit ribosomal RNA", at positions 30 to 523 of the family's 1533-position model. The record is from RNAcentral.